UACGUAGGGUGCAAGCGUUAUUCGGAAUUACUGGGCGUAAAGCGUGCGCAGGCGGCGCGUUAAGUCAGGUGUGAAAGCCCCGAGCUUAACUUGGGAAUUGCGCUUGUGACUGGCGUGCUGGAGUGUGGCAGAGGGAGGUGGAAUUCCACGUGUAGCAGUGAAAUGCGUAGAGAUGUGGAGGAACACCGAUGGCGAAGGCGGGUCUCUGGGCCGAUACUGACGCUGAGGAGCGAAAGCGUGGGGAGCGAACAGG
RNAcentral lists this ribosomal RNA (253 nucleotides) under uncultured bacterium. RNAcentral's name for it is "partial 16S ribosomal RNA". It matches the Rfam family "Bacterial small subunit ribosomal RNA", at positions 524 to 776 of the family's 1533-position model. The record is from RNAcentral.